RNAcentral lists this long non-coding RNA (373 nucleotides) under Carica papaya (papaya). RNAcentral describes it as "long non-coding RNA (CPAP_LNC003979)". The record is from RNAcentral. Lineage: Eukaryota; Viridiplantae; Streptophyta; Magnoliopsida; Brassicales; Caricaceae.
GGAAAUCUAUCGGUUGCCUAGUACACAUGUCCAACUAUUUACGUUCGCCCCACUAAUGGUCACCCCCAAAAGUAAAAAAGCUACGAAUUUUCAAAAGGGUCUUCGUGCCAACAUCUAUGACCAAGCUACGGUGCUGAGACUCAUCUCGUAUGCAAAGGUGCUAAAACAUGCCCAGUUGGUCAAAGACCUCAUCUCGGCUAAGCACCAAUGCAUUGCCCGAGUCUGUAUGCAACAACAAUAACCCCAACAGUUUAGAUUGAGAUUGCCUGACCUAGUAAGUGGCCAACUCGAUAAACAAACAAAAGUUGCCCUUCUCCUUGCUUUGCCUCCACCUACGGGUCAGCCUGCCUAACCUACCCAACCCUGUUAGCAU